GCCGAAGUGGUGGAAUUGGCAGACGCGCUAGAUUCAGGGUCUAGUGGGGGUUAACCCCGUGCGGGUUCAAGUCCCGCCUUCGGCACCA
RNAcentral lists this transfer RNA (88 nucleotides) under Bacillota bacterium. RNAcentral describes it as "Firmicutes bacterium (anaerobic digester metagenome) tRNA-Leu". It matches the Rfam family "tRNA". Rfam says of the family: Transfer RNA (tRNA) molecules are approximately 80 nucleotides in length. Their secondary structure includes four short double-helical elements and three loops (D, anti-codon, and T loops). The record is from RNAcentral. Lineage: Bacteria; Bacillati; Bacillota.